RNA transcript from Mus musculus (house mouse), 1819 nucleotides. It is a transcript of the gene named centromere protein V, with no coding region annotated. The transcript is spliced from 6 exons. NCBI's taxonomy places the organism in Eukaryota, Metazoa, Chordata, Mammalia, Rodentia, Muridae. The record is from RefSeq and is marked validated.
UUUUUGUCUUUAAACGUCAAUACGGUAUUCUGCAAAAGCUUAUGAAUGGAAUGUAAUCCUGGAUCCAUUUACUUAAAAUUGAAAACAAAAUCUAGGGCUGGGAAUGUGGCUCAGUGCAAGAGUGCUUUCUCAAAGCUGUGGGUCCUAUUCUCAGUUCUGCAAAACCACCAAAAAACCUGUUGACCAUUGAUCAAACUGACUCCAGCUGUCAUUUAUGCUUCCAGUAGCAGAUAUCCGACAAUUUACAUACUACGUUAGCUCACAUUAGGUACAUGAUGGCCUCUGCCAAGUUGGUAGUGUUACCACCUUGGAAACCACGAAGUCACCCAAGCGUGCCAGCUCUGAUGUGGCCGUGAAUUUAUGAACUGAGGCCUGACCCAGGUCCCCAGUUAGAAAUGUGUGGUUGGAGUCAGUGGAGGCUGGAAGCUCCUUCGCUGAUCAAACGGGCACCGCUACCUGCAAGCGCAGGUGCAGGCGCGGUCUCGUUAGACCCUCAGCGCUCGGCCGGCCCCACGGCCAGGGUCUCUUAGUUGGGUCCCUAGCUCGCGUGUUCCGGAGCGCCGCGCACCACCCCCGGGGCCUUCAGGUUGUCGGAGGCGGGGACGCGCAUCGGCCGGCGGGAGCGCGCAGAGCCGAGAGGCCUGCGAGCCCGGCUGAGGGAGACAUGCGGCGGACUCGCAGUGCCGUGGCCACCGGCCCGCGGGAGCAGCGGCGCUCGGGGGCCACCGGGGGCUUGAGCGGCGGCGAAAGCCGCGCGCAGCGCUCCCGGAGCAGGACUAGGGCCGGGGCCGGGGGCGGGGGCGGGGCGGUCGGUCCGCAGCCGUCGGCAAAGCCGCGGCCCAAGCCACCGCCGCGGGCCCAGGAGGCGGCCGCCGAGGAGCCACCGCCGGCGGUCACCCCCGCCGCCUCGGUGUCGGCGCUCGACCUGGGGGAGCAGCGGGAGCGCUGGGAGACGUUCCAGAAGCGGCAACGGCUCAGCUUCGAGGGCGCCGCCAAGCUGCUGCUGGACACCUUUGAGUACCAGGGCCUGGUGAAGCACACAGGAGGCUGCCACUGUGGAGCAGUUCGUUUUGAAGUUUGGGCUUCAGCAGACUUACACAUCUUUGACUGCAAGGUCGGGAGGGGGGGCAGCAGAAAUGAGGUCCAGGAGUGCUGAAUGCUGUGUGGUCUCCCCUGCUGGCUCUGUCACCAGUAGGCUUCACUGCCAUGAAGAGCUGAGGCUUCAGGUGGCCUGUCCAGCUGCCUAAGUCCUCUUCCCUGGAUGGUGCUGAGAAGGGUGUCCCACUUGAGCUGUAGCAUUUGCAAGAAGAAGCAGAACAGACACUUCAUUGUUCCAGCUUCUCGGUUCAAACUCCUGAAGGGUGCUGAGAGCAUAACCACAUACACCUUUAACACGCACAAAGCCCAGCACACCUUCUGCAAGAGAUGUGGUGUCCAGAGCUUCUAUACUCCGCGCUCCAACCCCGGGGGCUUUGGAAUCGCCCCCCACUGCCUGGACGAAGGCACUGUGCGGAGUGUGGUCACUGAGGAGUUCAAUGGCAGUGACUGGGAACGAGCCAUGAAGGAGCACAAGACCAUCAAGAACAUGUCAAAGGAGUGAGCAGGGCAGUAGCCCUGUAGGUUGCAUGGGUGUGUGUCGCUGUGCAGGCCUGCCUGGGCUACCAUCUCCACUCCCCAUGUCUCUGAGGUUCACUCCAGCCACCAUUUCUUUAGGCAGCUCUGCCUUAACCCAGGUUUCGUGUAAGAAACUUAACCUUCUCCCUUCCUACCAAUUUUUGUGUGAUCUUUUAGAAAAUAAAUAUUUCUGACAUUAAUGCUA